AAAGCCCUAUCUUAAUGAAAGUGUCUGAGUUGCAUUCAGUAGAUGUGAGUUAGUGUCUCACGGGUUUUA
This 69-nucleotide transfer RNA is filed under the name Synapturanus sp. MZUSP 159215. RNAcentral's name for it is "tRNA-Ala". It matches the Rfam family "tRNA". Rfam says of the family: Transfer RNA (tRNA) molecules are approximately 80 nucleotides in length. Their secondary structure includes four short double-helical elements and three loops (D, anti-codon, and T loops). Further hydrogen bonds mediate the characteristic L-shaped molecular structure. tRNAs have two regions of fundamental functional importance: the anti-codon, which is responsible for specific mRNA codon recognition, and the 3' end, to which the tRNAs corresponding amino acid is attached (by aminoacyl-tRNA synthetases). tRNAs cope with the degeneracy of the genetic code in two manners: having more than one tRNA (with a specific anti-codon) for a particular amino acid; and 'wobble' base-pairing, i.e. permitting non-standard base-pairing at the 3rd anti-codon position. The record is from RNAcentral. Lineage: Eukaryota; Metazoa; Chordata; Amphibia; Anura; Microhylidae.